Triticum urartu is the source of this 3648-nucleotide non-coding RNA. The record is from RefSeq and is a predicted model, not a curated record. Lineage: Eukaryota; Viridiplantae; Streptophyta; Magnoliopsida; Poales; Poaceae.
CCGAGAUGCAGCAGAAAGUAGCCGCUGGUCUCUGGAGUUCAAGGCCGGCCUCCAGUUCGUCCCGCGCCGCCGCAUUGCCUACCUCCUCCCUCCACCCUUCCGGCCUCCUCCUCCCACCGCAGCGGCGGCCGCCGCCUCACCGUUUCAUGUCCAGGCUCCUGCCCCGCAUCACCGCGCUCCCAGGCUGUCGCCGCAGCCACAACCCGAUCCCGCCCGCCCUCGCGGAGUCGCUCGCGCGGGUCCUCGCCACCCGCUCCACCAACCCGGCCUGGGCCCGCUCCCUCGCCGCGCUCCUCCCCUCCCCGCUCUCAGACGGCGGCCUCGCCGACGCCGUCGUCUCCCUGCGCGACCCCGACCUCGCCCACGCGCUCCUCUCCUGGUCCCGCUCCCACUCCGGCAGCCGCCACCAUGACGCCGACAAACUCCCGCCGCCCACGCCUAUCGCGCAUUCCGCCCUCCUCCGCCUCCUCGCCCGCUCCGGCCGCUUCGACGCCGUCGACUGCACGCUCCAGGACAUGUCUCGCGCGGGCGUCGCGCCCACGUAUGCUUGCCUCGGCGAGCUUGUGGCUGCCUACGCCGACGCCGGGAUCGAAACGAAGGCCACCGAUAUGUGCGAGCGCGUCAGGGCGCAAUAUGGAAUGCUCCCUGCGGCGAUCCACAGCAACUGCCUGCUCAGACUCCUCGUGGAGAGGCGGCAGUGGGACGACGCCCACAAGUUGUAUGACGAAAUGCUUGCUAAGGAAGGUGGCGCGGAUGAUUACAGCACAUGUGUGAUGGUCCGGGGCCUUUGCUUGGAAGGGCUGGUCGAGAAGGGCGUGAAGUUGAUUGAGGCGAGGUGGGGAGCAGGGUGCGUGCCAAAUUCUGUGUUCUAUAAUGUCUUGAUCGAUGGUUAUUGUCGACGCGGCGGCAUGGGUAGGGGACUGUUGCUCUUGGGUGAGAUGGAGAUGAAGGGGGUAUUGCCAACUGUGGUAACAUAUGGAACUCUUAUGAGCUGGCUCGGGAGGAAGGGUGAUCUUGAGAAGGUUACCUAUUUGCUGUCAGAGAUGCGGGAAAGGAGACUGUCCCCCAACAUUGAGAUUUAUAACAGUGUCAUCGAUGCUUUGUGCAAAUGCCGGUCUGCACCACAGGCAAUGGUAGUCUUGAAGCAGAUUUUUGCAAGUGGCUGUGACCCUGAUGUCAUUACUUUUAGUACUUUGAUAUCUGGGCUCUGCAGGGAAGGGCGUGUUCAAGAGGCUGAGCGUCUGUUGAGGGAGGCCAUUAGGAGGGAGGUAAACCCAAAUCUAUUCAGUUAUACUUCAUUGAUUCAUGGCUUCUGCAUUAGAGGACAAGUGAUGGAUGCAUCCAAUUUGCUUGUGGAAAUGAUGGAAAGAGGGUAUACUCCUGAUGUGGUCACAUUUGGAGCCCUGAUUCAUGGUCUUGUUGUUGCUGGGCAAGUCAGUGAGGCAUUGCUUGUCCGGGAGAAGAUGACAGCGAGACAGCUUCUCCCUGAUGCUAACAUAUAUAAUGUGCUGAUUAGUGGGCUAUGCAAGAAACAUAUGCUUCCUGCAGCUAGAAACCUUCUAGCAGAGAUGCUCGAGCAAAAUGUCCACCCUGAUAAAUUUGUUUACACCACAUUGAUUGAUGGGUUCAUUAGGAACGAGAGUCUUGAUGAGGCAAGGAAAGUAUUCGAAUUCAUGGAACAAAAGGGUGUCCGCCUUGAUGUUGUAGGCUAUAAUGCUAUGAUAAAAGGAUACUGUCAGUUUGGAAUGCUGGAUGAGGCAAUUGUAUGCAUGAACAACAUGAGAAAGGUGAGGUGUAUCCCAGAUGAGUUUACAUAUUCCACUCUUAUCACUGGCUAUGUUAAACAAGGCAAUAUGGGUGGAGCUCUAAGGUUACUGUGCGAAAUGACGAAAAGGAGAUGCCAACCAAAUGUUGUUACAUACUCAUCGUUAAUAAAUGGAUACUGCAAGCUAGGUGAUACAGAUACUGCAGAAGAUAUAUUCGCAAACAUGCAACUUGAAGGUCUAUUCCCCAAUGUGAUAACUUAUACCAUUUUAAUUGGUAGCCUGUUUAAAAAAGAUAAAGCGAUGAAAGCUGCUGCAUAUUUCGAACACAUGCUGAUUAAUUGUUGUGCUCCUAGUGAUAUUACGUUGCAUUGUUUAGUUACUGGUCUCACUAACUGUAUGGCUUGUAUCGUCAGUUCAAACUGCAGUGGUACUGUUAAGAUGCAUGACAAGGGUGCUCUUUUGGACAUAUUCAGGGGUUUGGUUAAUGGCAAAUGGGAUCCAAGGAAUGCAGCAUACAAUGCUAUUAUCUUCGGCCUAUGCAGACACAAUAUGCUUGGUAACGCAUUGGACAUAAUAAAUAAGAUGGCUAACAAAGGGUACUCACCGGACUCUGUCACUUUCAUUGCACUUCUUUAUGGAUUUUGUUCUGUUGGCAAAUCAAGGGAUUGGAGGAGCAUCCUACCUAAUGACUUUCAGCCAGAUCAACUUCAGAUAGCCUCUAGGUACAUGAUACUAUUUGAUCAAUAUGUAGCAAAGUCAGUUGGUUGUGAAGUCUCUAGUGCUCUGCAGUUAUAUCUUGAAGAAUGUGGAUCCUUAAAACAAAUGGAGCAUAAAUUUAAGUGUUCCUGAUAUUGUUCCUGGCACUUGCAAAUGACGGAUAACACUUAUCAGCAAGUGAAGACUAAGAGUAGAAUGGUUUGUAAUACCAUAUCUACAGGACUUUCUGCCAGCACUGGUAAUGCGUGAUAGAUCUCCAGUAGAAAUGGUCUCCCUGAAGGUCAGGACAGGAAGAUGCCGAUUUCACAUUCACAUCCAGAAGGGGAGUGGAUCUCCUUAUAAAUAUCACCGAGUGAUUGCUCUUGAUCAAGAAAAAAAACUUCGAAUAGGCAUCUGAUGUGACUUUAAUUGUCUGGUAAGGUGGAUUCUCAACAAGUGCUUGUGCAAUUAAGCAGGUGAAUGAACUGUGAAUCAAUUGGUAGAGCACACACUCAGGGUUUACAGGGCAUGGUUUUUGUGAUAUAUCUAUUGAUAUUGGAAGGAGCUCUAUGGAACUGCUUUGGCUGUUGGAAUUUGGUGUGUACAAAGCCACAAACACUUAGCAGUAACAGCGGCAAUAUCAGAAUAUUGAGUGGUCUUCCAUGAGCCUACUAAGUUGCAAGGCAGAACUUGGAUUUCUUCCACUGAGCUAACGGAGACUGAUGAGAGCAAUAUUUUUCGUUAGACCAAUUCUAGCAAGGAACAGAAAACCAAACAGCUAAUUUAACUGAAAGUUCACAGGUAAAAAAAAACUAAAACUUGCAAGUUGCGAGUUGCAAGGGUAUCAGGUGUGUUCCUGAUCUGCUGAGGCCUGUUGCUCUUUCUCUGGCCUAGAGACCGAAAAGUUCUGAUUGGUACCUGAAAAACUAUUGAUUGAUGACAAUUCAAUGAGACAUCUAGGUUGGUCAUUUCAAGGAUUUGUAGCACUUUAGAGUUUAGAGCAUAGUAAUGGCCGGAAUAACAGAAGGCAACACAUGUUAACCGCUAAUCGACUGUUCGAAUGCUGUAUCAUCACUAGCGACUAGUGAAAGCCCGAUACGUGUAAAUAAAAAACUAAUGUAGACAUAUAUAAUCACUCCUGCGAAGUACUAUUCAUCUGAAAUUAAUGACCAAUUAAAACAUGUUU